RNAcentral lists this ribosomal RNA (500 nucleotides) under uncultured bacterium. Its description in RNAcentral is "bacterial SSU rRNA". It matches the Rfam family "Bacterial small subunit ribosomal RNA", at positions 30 to 526 of the family's 1533-position model. The record is from RNAcentral.
AUUGAACGCUGGCGGUAUGCUUAACACAUGCAAGUCGAACGGUAGCAGGCCUUCGGGCGCUGACGAGUGGCGGACGGGUGAGUAACGCGUAGGAAUCUGCCUGUUAGUGGGGGACAACGUGUGGAAACGCACGCUAAUACCGCAUACGCCCUACGGGGGAAAGAAGGGGACCUUCGGGCCUUUCGCUAACAGAUGAGCCUGCGUUGGAUUAGCUAGUUGGUAGGGUAAAGGCCUACCAAGGCGACGAUCCAUAGCUGGUCUGAGAGGACGAUAAGCCACACGGGGACUGAGACACGGCCCAGACUCCUACGGGAGGCAGCAGUGGGGAAUAUUGGACAAUGGGCGCAAGCCUGAUCCAGCAAUACCGCGUGUGUGAAGAAGGCCCUAGGGUUGUAAAGCACUUUCAAUAGGGAGGAAAACCUGUCGGUCAAUACCCGGCAGCUUGACAUUACCUAUACAAGAAGCACCGGCUAACUCCGUGCCAGCCGCCGCCGUAACAC